CCUACGGGAGGCAGCAGUGAGGAAUAUUGGUCAAUGGACGGAAGUCUGAACCAGCCAAGUAGCGUGCAGGAUGACGGCCCUAUGGGUUGUAAACUGCUUUUAUAAGGGAAUAAAGUGAGAGUCGUGACUCUUUUUGCAUGUACCUUAUGAAUAAGGACCGGCUAAUUCCGUGCCAGCAGCCGCGGUAAUACGUGCCAGCAGCCGCGGUAAUA
Molecule: ribosomal RNA, 212 nt
Filed under: uncultured Prevotella sp.
Lineage: Bacteria; Pseudomonadati; Bacteroidota; Bacteroidia; Bacteroidales; Prevotellaceae
Description: partial 16S ribosomal RNA
Rfam family: Bacterial small subunit ribosomal RNA
Source: RNAcentral